Molecule: unclassified non-coding RNA, 336 nt
Filed under: soil metagenome
Description: partial contains 5.8S ribosomal RNA, internal transcribed spacer 2, and large subunit ribosomal RNA
Rfam family: 5.8S ribosomal RNA (bases 1-120)
Source: RNAcentral
GAUGAAGAACGCAGCGAAAUGCGAUAAGUAGUGUGAAUUGCAGAAUUCAGUGAAUCAUCGAAUCUUUGAACGCACAUUGCGCCCCUUGGUAUUCCAUGGGGCAUGCCUGUUCGAGCGUCAUUUGUACCUUCAAGCUUUGCUUGGUGUUGGGUGUUUGUCUCGUCUUUGCGUGUAGACUCGCCUUAAAAUAAUUGGCAGCCGGCGUAUUGAUUUCGGAGCGCAGUACAUCUCGCGCUUUGCACUCAUAACGACAGCGUCCAAAAGUACAUUUUACACUCUUGACCUCGGAUCAGGUAGGGAUACCCGCUGAACUUAAGCAUAUCAAUAAGCGGAGGA